UACGGAGGGUGCAAGCGUUAUCCGGAUUCACUGGGUUUAAAGGGUGCGUAGGUGGGUUGGUAAGUCAGUGGUGAAAUCCCCGAGCUUAACUUGGGAACUGCCAUUGAUACUAUUAAUCUUGAAUACCGUGGAGGUUAGCGGAAUAUGUCAUGUAGCGGUGAAAUGCUUAGAUAUGACGCAGAACACCAAUUGCGAAGGCAGCUUGCUACACUACUAUUGACACUGAGGCACGAAAGCGUGGGGAUCAAACAGG
This 253-nucleotide ribosomal RNA is filed under the name uncultured bacterium. Its description in RNAcentral is "partial 16S ribosomal RNA". It matches the Rfam family "Bacterial small subunit ribosomal RNA", at positions 524 to 776 of the family's 1533-position model. The record is from RNAcentral.